ACGGCUGGGUUAUUUUUUAACCCAAAAUGCUGGGUUGAGUCUGUUGGGUCAUUUUGUUGGGUUAUUUAAUUUCUUUUUAAACACUUUUGGGUAGUUUCAUUUUACCAGGUGUUGGGUUAAACCUGCAGGGUUGCGUCGCUGGGUUGUUUCAGGCCAGCGCUGGGUUAUUUAACGCGCCUUGAAGAUGUUUAAAUCGCUCCCCAACUGUCACUUUGGAAGAACAACGGGGCAAAGCCACGGCUUUCAACUGUUUUAAGAAAAGCGCAUGGAUACAUUUGUGAGAGAAAAACUCGUCGAGUGCAGUCUUAUUGAGGCGUCUAACGGUUGGAACAAACAUGGAAUUCCUUAACUGAGCAGAGUCCACAAAACCCCAUCCAAUUGUCGUGGCGAUUUAAAAAUGACAGCAGAUCUCUCAGGCAUUGAUCAUAAUCAAUGGACAGGUCACCGUAGCCACCCGUAUCCAGUACAUAUCCAGACCAGAUGGAGAUCAUCAUCUAGAAAGGACCUCUACAUCCCUGAAAGACAGCGGAGACCAGGACAACUAGAGCCCCAGAUACAGAUCCCCUGUAAAGACCUUGUCUCAGAGGAGCACCAGGACAAGACCACAGGAAACAGAUGAUUCUUCUGCACAAUCUGACUUCGCUGCAGCCUGGAAUUGAACUACUGGUUUUGUCUGGUCAGAGGAGAACUGACCCCAACUGAGCCUGGUUUCUCCCAAGGAUUUUUCUCCAUUCUGUCAUCGAUGGAGUUUUGGUUCCUUGUUUUUCUUUAGUUGGGGACAAUUAAUAUCAAGCGAUAUCAUCCACUUGAUUGCACAGAGGGACGAUACAUCACUGAAUCAAUGACGAAUUGACUUUAACUGAAAACUGAGUGUUUACUGUUGUCCCUUUGCAUUAUUACACACUAUUUUCCUAUUUAAUACUGUAAAGCUGCUAUGAUGCAGUAUUUGAUCAAUAUGACAGGCUUAUUACUCAUAAUACAUGGAAAAUACAGCUACAAACUGACUUUGUUUUUCCAUUUGAAAUUUGGCAGUCACUGUGCAUUCAUGAAAACUGAAACCGUAAUUUUUGUUCAGUGUUUUUGAAACAGUAUUUUUGUUCAAGAUUUGCAAUUGUGUUUGGAUUGUCACAAUUUGUCACAUGUGGAAAACGCAAUUGAAAAUAUAAUUAGCAAUUCCUUUUGAAAAUUGUCCUUCCAUAGACAGGCUCUAUAACGAAGUACACUGCUCUCAGGUGUAGAUCUUUGCUUCAGAGCUUAAGUGUUUGACAAUAGUUCACCCAAAAAUGAAAAUUGUCACUAAUUAUACACCCUGGUCUGAAAGCUCUCGAAUAUCAACGAAAAUAUCUUAACUUGUGUUCUGAAGAUGAACAAAGGUCUUACGGGUUUGUAACGGCAUGAAGUUGAUUAAUAAAUGACAGAAUUUUAAUUUUUGGGUGAACUAUAUGUUGAACUACCCUAAGCACUGCACAUCUACCUACGUAGGAGUCUUUAUAUACUUGAUAUAAAUUUAAGGACAUCUUUAAAUGAUUUUACAUUUAAAUUUAAAGAAUGUUAAUUGUCAAUGUCAUUUCACUGUGUAUUUAAAUAGCUAAAUAUGUCAAAAUGUAAUAGUUCAACAGCUAGACAGGUCAUUCAGAUAUAAUUUUCUUAUUUAUUGCAACUGUAUUUCUGUGAUUUUUAUUUAUUUAUUUUGCAUUUGCUGGAAACAAAAAAAGGGAAAAUUCCAUGUUGUUUGUCAUUGGUACAAAUUUUUUUAUGUCAGAUGGCAUUAAAAAUAUUUUUUAACAGUCUAAAUAACCUGUAUUCUUCAUUAUUUAUUAAUCCAUGAUUGCUUUAUUAAGCAAAAGUGAAAUUAUGAGAAUAACCCAGCAAGAAUAACCCAGAAUCAUAAAAAUGCAAACCCACAAAUGGUAAAAAUGACUCUAUCUUGGGUUUUCUCAAUAACCCAGCAUGCUGGGUUAAAAUGUGUAAACCAGCAUGCUGGGUUACUUUAACCCAGCACGUGUUCUGUCCAAUAUUUACCCAGUGCUGGGUUGCCAAUUGGGUUAUUUUUAACCCAGCCAUUUUUAG
Long non-coding RNA from Carassius gibelio (silver crucian carp), 2070 nucleotides. RefSeq lists it as uncharacterized. The record is from RefSeq and is a predicted model, not a curated record. Lineage: Eukaryota; Metazoa; Chordata; Actinopteri; Cypriniformes; Cyprinidae. The transcript is spliced from 4 exons.